ACUCCUACGGGAGGCAGCAGUAGGGAAUCUUCCGCAAUGGACGAAAGUCUGACGGAGCAACGCCGCGUGAACGAUGAAGGCCUUCGGGUCGUAAAGUUCUGUUGUUAGGGAAGAACAAGUGCCAGAGUAACUGCUGGUACCUUGACGGUACCUAACCAGAAAGCCACGGCUAACUACGUGCCAGCAGCCGCGGUAAUACGUAGGUGGCAAGCGUUGUCCGGAAUUAUUGGGCGUAAAGCGCGCGCAGGCGGUUUCUUAAGUCUGAUGUGAAAGCCCACGGCUCAACCGUGGAGGGUCAUUGGAAACUGGGAACUUGAGUGCAGAAGAGGAGAGUGGAAUUCCACGUGUAGCGGUGAAAUGCGUAGAGAUGUGGAGGAACACCAGUGGCGAAGGCGACUCUCUGGUCUGUAACUGACGCUGAGGCGCGAAAGCGUGGGGAGCGAACAGGAUUAGAUACCCUGGUAGCUCGAU
RNAcentral lists this ribosomal RNA (471 nucleotides) under uncultured bacterium. RNAcentral describes it as "bacterial SSU rRNA". It matches the Rfam family "Bacterial small subunit ribosomal RNA", at positions 335 to 798 of the family's 1533-position model. The record is from RNAcentral.